AUGGCUUGUGGCGAUCAUCAAAGUGAUGAUGACAAUUUCAUGGAUCCACCUCAACGUAACCAGGCAACUGGACGGAGAAAAGAGGGCGAUGAGAAGAAGAAACAUAUUCGCAACAGAGCCUCCCAGGAACGUCUGACCGUGUUGAUUGACAAAUUCACUGACGAUCAAAAGGGAGCUGCUGCUGAGAUGGGUAUGCAGGUUCUGAUGGAUGUCCGGUGUACGAACCUUGUCAACCCGGUAUGCGACUGGCUUGGUGAGAUAUACGAUCCCGCCUCCAGGGAAUUCGUGAUCCCGGGACGGGGAAGACUUCCAUUGAAUGAGGAAUCCAUGUUCUGCACUUUGGGUGUGCCUCGGGGACAUAUCAAAGUCCCGUACGAGGCGAAUCUGAAAAACGUGAAGAGUAUGAACUGGUGUAAGUUUAUUGCCGACUUUCUCCAUGAUGCUUUCAAAAACAAGAUGUACCAGAAGGGUUGUCGUCUGCACUUAAUGGCGAGGGCACCAGUGGAGCAUCUAAUUGGGCAGUUUGCAUCUAGAAUGACCGGCCUGCUCGGGAAGUUGGUUGAGGGGUGGACGUCCCUCAGUGCCUCUGACAGCGACGCGGUUGCGAGGUAG
This 612-nucleotide ribosomal RNA is filed under the name Triticum aestivum (bread wheat). RNAcentral's name for it is "partial small subunit ribosomal RNA". The record is from RNAcentral. Lineage: Eukaryota; Viridiplantae; Streptophyta; Magnoliopsida; Poales; Poaceae.